CCUACGGGGUGCAGCAGUGAGGAAUAUUGGUCAAUGGGCGUAAGCCUGAACCAGCCAAGUCGCGUGAGGGAUGAAGGUUCUAUGGAUCGUAAACCUCUUUUAUAAGGGAAUAAAGUGCGGGACGUGUCCCGUUUUGUAUGUACCUUAUGAAUAAGGAUCGGCUAACUCCGUGCCAGCAGCCGCGGUAAUACGGAGGUUCCGAGCGUUAUCCGGAUUUAUUGGGUUUAAAGGGGAAGUAGGUGGGCUUUUAAGUCAGCGGGGAUAGUGUGUGGCGCAACCAUGGAAUUGCCGUUGAAACUGGGAGGCUUGAGUAUGUUUGAGGCAGGCGGAAUGCGUGGUGUAGCGGUGAAAUGCGUAGAUAGCACGCAGAACCCCGGUGGCGAAGGCAGCCUGCCAAGCCAUGACUGACGCUGAUGCACGAAAGCGUGGGGAUCAAACAGGAUUAGAUACCCGAGUAGUC
RNAcentral lists this ribosomal RNA (460 nucleotides) under uncultured bacterium. Its description in RNAcentral is "partial 16S ribosomal RNA". It matches the Rfam family "Bacterial small subunit ribosomal RNA", at positions 338 to 795 of the family's 1533-position model. The record is from RNAcentral.